GUCGUCGAGCCAAUGCAACCCGCUGCUGGGGAAACGAUAAUAAUCCUCUGUGCUGGCUUUGCUGAGAUGUCUUCAUCUUAAAAUGCCUGUACGUGGCUGCGCUCUUCGCCUUCUGGCGGACAGGACGGAUCCAUCUGCCGUAAACGGCCGGAACUGAGGAGCAAUCAGAACCCGGUCCAACUCAUUAUUGCCUCUGGUUGACCACACAACGGUGAUUUCAGUCCUGAUCCAGAAGAUUUUUAUUUUUUUUUUAACCAUGGGCUGAUUUUGUCGUCUCUCACAAGGACAUGAACUUUUUUUUUUUCGUUUAAAAGAUGAAAAUCUAAAACUGUGCAGAGCAAAAGCCAUAUUUUAAAGUGGAGGUAAAUUAUCCAAAACGUGCACUCAAAAAAAAGUCUAAUUGGAUUUUUAGGAAAGUAAUGGGUUUUCCUUCCUUGUUUAAAUCCAAUUUGGAGUUGUUAAGACUGUGACUGUUUAGAAAGCACACUGAGACGAACAAAGAGGAAUCCCAUCCCCGAGGAUAUUGUGCGUGUCUGAUUUAUUUAGAGACUUUAAUUGCUGCUUGUUCAACUACUGCAGCAGCAUGAUGUUCAGGUAAAUUUAUAGGAAAGCGUGAUGAACAAGAAGGUUAUUUUGUGGAGUACCAAGUCGUCGUUUCCUUACAAUGUUGUUUUUUUCUGGCUACAUUUAACCAAACACUGAUUAAUGAUGAAAGUAAAUAUGUCUCAAACCAAAUGCAAAUGUGAAUAAAAGCAAAAGUUGCAAAAAAAGAAGAAAAAAAAGAGUCCCAAUGCAAUGCUACAUUGAGGUUAAUAAAACCAAUUCCACAUCCA
Molecule: long non-coding RNA, 833 nt
Organism: Poecilia latipinna (sailfin molly)
Lineage: Eukaryota; Metazoa; Chordata; Actinopteri; Cyprinodontiformes; Poeciliidae
Exons: 2
Source: RefSeq, a predicted model, not a curated record